GGUUAAAAAGUUUUAAAACAUUCAUUUUGAAAAUGAAAAAUAUAGAUUAUUAUCUAUUUUAACCU
This 65-nucleotide transfer RNA is filed under the name Goniodes ortygis. RNAcentral's name for it is "tRNA-Ser". Lineage: Eukaryota; Metazoa; Arthropoda; Insecta; Psocodea; Philopteridae. The record is from RNAcentral.